UAGAGUUUGAUCCUGGCUCACAUCGAACGCUGGCGGCAUGCCUUACACAUGCAAGUCGGACGGCAGCGCGGGCUUCGGCCUGGCGGCGAGUGGCGAACGGGUGAGUAAUACAUCGGAACAUGUCCAGNNNNNNGGGAUAGCCCGGCGAAAGCCGGAUUAAUACCGCAUACGAUCUGUGGAUGAAAGCGGGGGAUCGCAAGACCUCGCGCUAUUGGGGUGGCCGAUGGCGGAUUAGCUAGUUGGUGGGGUAAAGGCCUACCAAGGCGACGAUCCGUAGCUGGUCUGAGAGGACGACCAGCCACACUGGGACUGAGACACGGCCCAGACUCCUACGGGAGGCAGCAGUGGGGAAUUUUGGACAAUGGGCGCAAGCCUGAUCCAGCAAUGCCGCGUGUGUGAAGAAGGCCUUCGGGUUGUAAAGCACUUUUGUCCGGAAAGAAAUCCUUUUCGAUAAUACCGAGAGGGGAUGACGGUACCGGAAGAAUAAGCACCGGCUAACUACGUGCCAGCAGCCGCGGUAAUACGUAGGGUGCGAGCGUUAAUCGGAAUUACUGGGCGUAAAGCGUGCGCAGGCGGUGAUGCAAGACCGAUGUGAAAUCCCCGGGCUUAACCUGGGAACUGCAUUGGUGACUGCAUCGUUAGAGUAUGGCAGAGGGGGGUAGAAUUCCACGUGUAGCUGUGAAAUGCGUAGAGAUGUGGAGGAAUACCGAUGGCGAAGGCAGCCCCCUGGGUCAAUACUGACGCUCAUG
RNAcentral lists this ribosomal RNA (749 nucleotides) under bacterium enrichment culture clone PF-1_12. RNAcentral describes it as "bacterial SSU rRNA". It matches the Rfam family "Bacterial small subunit ribosomal RNA", at positions 1 to 751 of the family's 1533-position model. The record is from RNAcentral.